CUGUCAUUUAGGAGUUAAAUCACUUUGUUUCUGUUUAUACAGCCCUAGCCACACCUCCCCUGGCUAUGAUUGACAGAGCCUGCAUGGAAAAAAAAACUGGUUUCACUUUCAAACAGAUGUAAUUUACCUUAAAUAAUUGUAUCUCAAUCUCUAAAUUGAACUUUAAUCACAUACAGGAAGCUCUUGCAGGGUCUAGCAAGCUAUUAACAUAG
Pelobates cultripes (western spadefoot toad) is the source of this 212-nucleotide non-coding RNA. Lineage: Eukaryota; Metazoa; Chordata; Amphibia; Anura; Pelobatidae. The record is from the annotation of a GenBank genome assembly.